GAUGAACGCUAGCUACAGGCUUAACACAUGCAAGUCGAGGGGUAACGAGAGGAAAGCUUGCUUUCCUUGUCGACGACCGGCGCACGGGUGAGUAACGCGUAUCCAACCUGCCCCCAACUAAGGAAUAGCCUUGCGAAAGUAAGACUAAUACCUUAUAAUUUCCUCAGAUGUCAUCUGACGAGGAAUAAAGAUUUAUCGGUUGUGGUUGGGGAUGCGUCUGAUUAGCUUGUUGGCGGGGUAACGGCCCACCAAGGCAACGAUCAGUAGGGGUUCUGAGAGGAAGGUCCCCCACAUUGGAACUGAGACACGGUCCAAACUCCUACGGGAGGCAGCAGUGAGGAAUAUUGGUCAAUGGGCGAAAGCCUGAACCAGCCAAGUAGCGUGCAGGAUGACGGCCCUAUGGGUUGUAAACUGCUUUUAUACAGGAAUAAAGUUAGCCACGUGUGGUUAUUUGUAGGUACUGUAUGAAUAAGGACCGGCUAACUCCGUGCCAGCAGCCGCAGUAA
This 506-nucleotide ribosomal RNA is filed under the name uncultured bacterium. RNAcentral's name for it is "partial 16S ribosomal RNA". It matches the Rfam family "Bacterial small subunit ribosomal RNA", at positions 28 to 523 of the family's 1533-position model. The record is from RNAcentral.